UACAGAGGGUGCGAGCGUUAAUCGGAUUUACUGGGCGUAAAGGGCGCGUAGGCGGUGAUGUGAGUGUGAUGUGAAAUCCCAGGGCUCAACCCUGGAACUGCCUUCUAGACUGCAAGCCUGGAGGUCAGGAGAGGCGAGUGGAAUACCGAGUGUAGAGGUGAAAUUCGUAGAUAUUCGGUGGAACACCAGUGGCGAAGGCGACUCGCUGGACUGAUACUGACGCUGAGGUGCGAAAGCGU
RNAcentral lists this ribosomal RNA (239 nucleotides) under uncultured bacterium. RNAcentral describes it as "partial 16S ribosomal RNA". It matches the Rfam family "Bacterial small subunit ribosomal RNA", at positions 524 to 762 of the family's 1533-position model. The record is from RNAcentral.